This 443-nucleotide ribosomal RNA is filed under the name uncultured bacterium. RNAcentral describes it as "partial 16S ribosomal RNA". It matches the Rfam family "Bacterial small subunit ribosomal RNA", at positions 28 to 507 of the family's 1533-position model. The record is from RNAcentral.
GAUGAACGCUGGCGGCAUGCCUAACACAUGCAAGUCGAUCGGUAAGGCUCUUCGGAGUACACGAGAGGCGGACGGCUGAGUAACUCGUAGGUACACACCCUGCAGGUAGGGAUAAGACACCGAAAGGUGUUCUAAUACCGCAUACGGUCUUCGGAUUAAAGCAUUUAUGCGCUGAAGGAGUGGCCUGCGUCAUGUUAGAUAGUUGGUGAGGUAAUGGCUCACCAAGUCGAUGAUGUGUAGCUGGUCUGAGAGGAUGAUCAGCCAGACUGGAACUGAGACACGGUCCAGACUCCUACGGGAGGCAGCAGUGAGGAAUAUGUCACAAUGAGCGAAAGCUUGAUGGAGCAAUGCCGCGUGCAGGAUGAAGGCCCUCGGGUUGUAAACUGCUUUUAUAAGAGAAGAUUAUGACGGUAACUUAUGAAUAAGGGACGGCUAACUACGUG